Molecule: unclassified non-coding RNA, 338 nt
Filed under: soil metagenome
Description: partial contains 5.8S ribosomal RNA, internal transcribed spacer 2, and large subunit ribosomal RNA
Rfam family: 5.8S ribosomal RNA (bases 1-121)
Source: RNAcentral
GAUGAAGAACGUAGUGAAAUGCGAUAAGUAAUGCGAAUUGCAGAAUUCCAGUGAGUCAUCGAAUCUUUGAACGCACAUUGCGCCCCUUGGUAUUCCAUGGGGCAUGCCUGUUCGAGCGUCAUUUGUACCUUCAAGCUCUGCUUGGUGUUGGGUGUUUGUCUCGCCUCUGCGUGUAGACUCGCCUCAAAACAAUUGGCAGCCGGCGUAUUGAUUUCGGAGCGCAGUACAUCUCGCGCUUUGCACUCAUAACGACGACGUCCAAAAGUACAUUUUUACACUCUUGACCUCGGAUCAGGUAGGGAUACCCGCUGAACUUAAGCAUAUCAAUAAGCGGAGGA